ACGAAUGGGGCAAGCGUUGUUCGGAAUCACUGGGCUUAAAGCGUAUGCAGGCGACCGCGCAAGUCAGAAGUGAAAUCCCUGGGCUUAACCCAGGAAUUGCUUUUGAAACUGCACGGCUAGAAUCCCGGAGAGGUUAACAGAAUUCCGAGUGUAGAGGUGAAAUUCGCAGAUAUUCGGAGGAAUACCAGUGGCGCAAGCGGUUAACUGGACGGGCAUUGACGCUCAGAUACGAAAGCAUGGGGAGCAAACAGGA
This 253-nucleotide ribosomal RNA is filed under the name uncultured prokaryote. RNAcentral describes it as "partial 16S ribosomal RNA". It matches the Rfam family "Bacterial small subunit ribosomal RNA", at positions 525 to 777 of the family's 1533-position model. The record is from RNAcentral.